GAUGAACGCUGGCGGCGUGCUUAACACAUGCAAGUCGAACGAAGCAUUUAAGACAGAUUACUUCGGUUUGAAGUCUUUUAUGACUGAGUGGCGGACGGGUGAGUAACGCGUUGGUAACCUGCCUCAUACAGGGGGAUAGCAGCUGGAAACGGCUGGUAAUACCGCAUAAGCGCACAGUACCACAUGGUACCGUGUGAAAAACUCCGGUGGUAUGAGAUGGACCCGCGUCUGAUUAGCUUGUUGGCGGGGUAACGGCCCACCAAGGCGACGAUCAGUAGCCGAACUGAGAGGGUGACCGGCCACAUUGGGAAUGAGACACGGCCCAGACUCCUACGGGAGGAAGAAGUGGGGAAUAUUGCACAAUGGAGGAAACUCUGAUGCAGCGACGCCGCGUGAGUGAAGAAGUAGUUCGCUAUGUAAAGCUCUAUCAGCAGGGAAGAUAGUGACGGUACCUGACGAAGAAGCUCCGGCUAAAUACGUG
This 481-nucleotide ribosomal RNA is filed under the name uncultured bacterium. RNAcentral's name for it is "partial 16S ribosomal RNA". It matches the Rfam family "Bacterial small subunit ribosomal RNA", at positions 28 to 507 of the family's 1533-position model. The record is from RNAcentral.